CGGCGGAGCGUGUUGUUUAAUUCGNNNNUNNGCGAAGAACCUUACCAGGGUUUGACAUCCUAGGAAUUACUGCGAAAGUGGAUCCGCUACUACAGGUGUGACGAGCGCAACCCUUAUGAUUAGUUGGGGAUGUCAGGUUGUAUUACCCUUAUAUCCUGGCUACAUACAUGGCCGGUACAAGGGCAGCUAAGUCGCGAGACGGAGCAUCCCAUCAAAGCCGGUCCCAGUUCGGAUUGCAGUGAAACUCGCCUGCAUGAAGUCGGAAUCGCUAGUAAUCGAGGNCAGCACACUGCNGUGAAUACGUUCCCGGGUCUUGUACACACCGCCGUCACACCAUGGAAAGUCGGAGCGCCCGAAGUCCUAGCUUGUCUAGCUANGCGAACUCAGUGAUGGCGGCUA
This 399-nucleotide ribosomal RNA is filed under the name uncultured Candidatus Saccharibacteria bacterium. Its description in RNAcentral is "partial 16S ribosomal RNA". It matches the Rfam family "Bacterial small subunit ribosomal RNA", at positions 930 to 1465 of the family's 1533-position model. The record is from RNAcentral. Lineage: Bacteria; Candidatus Saccharimonadota.